GAUGAACGCUGGCGGCGUGCCUAAUACAUGCAAGUCGAGCGAACGGACGAGAAGCUUGCUUCUCUGAUGUUAGCGGCGGACGGGUGAGUAACACGUGGAUAACCUACCUAUAAGACUGGGAUAACUUCGGGAAACCGGAGCUAAUACCGGAUAAUAUUUUGAACCGCAUGGUUCAAAAGUGAAAGACGGUCUUGCUGCCACUUAUAGAUGGAUCCGCGCUGCAUUAGCUAGUUGGUAAGGUAACGGCUUACCAAGGCAACGAUGCAUAGCCGACCUGAGAGGGUGAUCGGCCACACUGGAACUGAGACACGGUCCAGACUCCUACGGGAGGCAGCAGUAGGGAAUCUUCCGCAAUGGGCGAAAGCCUGACGGAGCAACGCCGCGUGAGUGAUGAAGGUCUUCGGAUCGUAAAACUCUGUUAUUAGGGAAGGACAAAUGUGUAAGUAACUAUGCACGUCUUGACGGUACCUAAUCAGAAAGCCACGGCUAACUACGUGCCAGCAGCCGCGGUAAUACGUAGGUGGCAAGCGUUAUCCGGAAUUAUUGGGCGUAAAGCGCGCGUAGGCGGUUUUUUAAGUCUGAUGUGAAAGCCCACGGCUCAACCGUGGAGGGUCAUUGGAAACUGGAAAACUUGAGUGCAGAAGAGGAGAGUGGAAUUCCAUGUGUAGCGGUGAAAUGCGCAGAGAUAUGGAGGAACACCAGUGGCGAAGGCGACUUUCUGGUCUGUAACUGACGCUGAUGUGCGAAAGCGUGGGGAUCAAACAGGAUUAGAUACCCUGGUAGUCCACGCCGUAAACGAUGAGUGCUAAGUGUUAGGGGGUUUCCGCCCCUUAGUGCUGCAGCUAACGCAUUAAGCACUCCGCCUGGGGAGUACGACCGCAAGGUUGAAACUCAAAGGAAUUGACGGGGACCCGCACAAGCGGUGGAGCAUGUGGUUUAAUUCGAAGCAACGCGAAGAACCUUACCAAAUCUUGACAUCCUCUGACCCCUCUAGAGAUAGAGUUUUCCCCUUCGGGGGACAGAGUGACAGGUGGUGCAUGGUUGUCGUCAGCUCGUGUCGUGAGAUGUUGGGUUAAGUCCCGCAACGAGCGCAACCCUUAAGCUUAGUUGCCAUCAUUAAGUUGGGCACUCUAAGUUGACUGCCGGUGACAAACCGGAGGAAGGUGGGGAUGACGUCAAAUCAUCAUGCCCCUUAUGAUUUGGGCUACACACGUGCUACAAUGGACAAUACAAAGGGCAGCGAAACCGCGAGGUCAAGCAAAUCCCAUAAAGUUGUUCUCAGUUCGGAUUGUAGUCUGCAACUCGACUAUAUGAAGCUGGAAUCGCUAGUAAUCGUAGAUCAGCAUGCUACGGUGAAUACGUUCCCGGGUCU
Molecule: ribosomal RNA, 1372 nt
Filed under: uncultured bacterium
Lineage: Bacteria
Description: bacterial SSU rRNA
Rfam family: Bacterial small subunit ribosomal RNA
Source: RNAcentral